This 460-nucleotide ribosomal RNA is filed under the name uncultured bacterium. Its description in RNAcentral is "partial 16S ribosomal RNA". It matches the Rfam family "Bacterial small subunit ribosomal RNA", at positions 338 to 795 of the family's 1533-position model. The record is from RNAcentral.
CCUACGGGUGGCAGCAGUGAGGAAUAUUGGUCAAUGGCCGUAAGGCUGAACCAGCCAAGUAGCGUGAGGGAAGACUGCCCAAUGGGUUGUAAACCUCUUUUAUGCGGGGAUAAAGGUGGCCACGUGUGGAUGGUUGCAGGUACCGCAUGAAUAAGGACCAGCUAAUUCCGUGCCAGCAGCCGCGGUAAUACGGAAGGUCCGGGCGUUAUCCGGAUUUAUUGGGUUUAAAGGGAGCGUAGGCGGGUCUUUAAGCAUGCGGUGAAAUUUUGUGGCUCAACCAUGAGCGUGCGGCGAGAACUGGAGACCUUGAGUGCGCGGAAGGCAGGCGGAAUUCGUGGUGUAGCGGUGAAAUGCUUAGAUAUCACGAAGAACCCCGAUUGCGAAGGCAGCCUGCCGCGGCGUUACUGACGCUGAGGCUCGAAAGCGCGGGUAUCGAACAAGAUUAGAUACCCGUGUAGUC